GUGCUCACUUUAACAACAUAUGUACUGAAAUUGCAACCAUACAGAGAUUAGCAUGGUCCCUGCACAAGGACAUGCAAAUUUAUAAAACAUUCCAUAUCUUU
Small nuclear RNA from Ictidomys tridecemlineatus (thirteen-lined ground squirrel), 101 nucleotides. The record is from Ensembl. Lineage: Eukaryota; Metazoa; Chordata; Mammalia; Rodentia; Sciuridae.